GGGGAAUUUUGGACAAUGGGGGCAACCCUGAUCCAGCCAUGCCGCGUGAGUGAAGAAGGCCUUCGGGUUGUAAAGCUCUUUCGGCGGGGAAGAAAUGGCAACGGCUAAUAUCCGUUGUUGAUGACGGUACCCGCAUAAGAAGCACCGGCUAACUACGUGCCAGCAGCCGCGGUAAUACGUAGGGUGCGAGCGUUAAUCGGAAUUACUGGGCGUAAAGCGUGCGCAGGCGGUUUCGUAAGACAGACGUGAAAUCCCCGGGCUCAACCUGGGAACUGCGUUUGUGACUGCGAGGCUAGAGUACGGCAGAGGGAGGUAGAAUUCCACGUGUGGCAGUGAAAUGCGUAGAGAUGUGGAGGAAUACCGAUGGCGAAGGCAGCCCCCUGGGUUAGUACUGACGCUCAUGCACGAAAGCGUGGGGAGCAAACA
RNAcentral lists this ribosomal RNA (426 nucleotides) under uncultured bacterium. RNAcentral describes it as "bacterial SSU rRNA". It matches the Rfam family "Bacterial small subunit ribosomal RNA", at positions 356 to 774 of the family's 1533-position model. The record is from RNAcentral.